Molecule: ribosomal RNA, 443 nt
Filed under: uncultured bacterium
Lineage: Bacteria
Description: bacterial SSU rRNA
Rfam family: Bacterial small subunit ribosomal RNA
Source: RNAcentral
ACUCCUACGGGAGGCAGCAGUGGGGAAUAUUGCACAAUGGGCGAAAGCCUGAUGCAGCAACGCCGCGUGAGUGAAGAAGGCCUUCGGGUUGUAAAGCUCUGUCUUCUGGGACGAUAAUGACGGUACCAGAGGAGGAAGCCACGGCUAACUACGUGCCAGCAGCCGCGGUAAUACGUAGGUGGCAAGCGUUGUCCGGAUUUACUGGGCGUAAAGGAUGCGUAGGCGGAUGCUUAAGUCAGAUGUGAAAAUCCCGAGCUUAACUUGGGAACUGCAUUUGAAACUGGGUAUCUAGAGUGCGGGAGAGGAAAGUGGAAUUCCUAGUGUAGCGGUGAAAUGCGUAGAGAUUAGGAAGAACACCAGUGGCGAAGGCGACUUUCUGGACCGUAACUGACGCUGAGGCAUGAAAGCGUGGGGAGCAAACAGGAUUAGAUACCCUGGUAGUC